GAUUAACGCUGGCGGCGUGCCUAACACAUGCAAGUCGAGCGGCAGCGAGUUUUACACUGAAUUCUGGAAGCUUCUAGUUGAAAGAGAAGAUUUAUUCAAGAAUUUUGUGUAAAAUGUCGGCGAGCGGCGGACGGCUGAGUAACGCGUGGGAACGUACCCCAAAGUGAGGGAUAACGCAUCGAAAGGUGUGCUAAUCCCGCAUAUGGUCUUCGGAUUAAAGCCUUCGGGCGCUUUGGGAACGGCCUGCGUAAGAUUAGAUAGUUGGUGGGGUAAUGGCCUACCAAGUCGACGAUCUGUACCUGGUUUGAGAGGAUGAGCAGUCAGACUGGAACUGAGACACGGUCCAGACUCCUACGGGAGGCAGCAGUGAGGAAUCUUCCACAAUGGGCGAAAGCCUGAUGGAGCAACGCCGCGUGCAGGAUGAAGGCCUUCGGGUUGUAAACUGCUUUUAUAAGUGAGGAUUAUGACAGUAACUUAUGAAUAAGGAUCGGCUAACUACGUG
This 502-nucleotide ribosomal RNA is filed under the name uncultured bacterium. RNAcentral describes it as "partial 16S ribosomal RNA". It matches the Rfam family "Bacterial small subunit ribosomal RNA", at positions 28 to 507 of the family's 1533-position model. The record is from RNAcentral.